UACGGAGGGUGCAAGCGUUAUCCGGAUUCACUGGGCUUAAAGGGCGCGUAGGUGGUCUAGUAAGUCAGUGGUGAAAUCUCCGGGCUUAACCCGGAAACUGCCAUUGAUACUAUUUGUCUUGAAUACUGUGGAGGUCAGCGGAAUAUGUCAUGUAGCGGUGAAAUGCUUAGAUAUGACAUAGAACACCAAUUGCGAAGGCAGCUGGCUACACAAAUAUUGACACUGAGGCACGAAAGCGUGGGGAUCAAACAGG
RNAcentral lists this ribosomal RNA (253 nucleotides) under uncultured bacterium. RNAcentral's name for it is "partial 16S ribosomal RNA". It matches the Rfam family "Bacterial small subunit ribosomal RNA", at positions 524 to 776 of the family's 1533-position model. The record is from RNAcentral.